GACGAACGCUGGCGGUGUGCUUAACACAUGCAAGUCGAACGGUAAGGCCCUUUCGGGGGUACACGAGUGGCGAACGGGUGAGUAACACGUGAGUAACCUGCCCUCAUCUCUGGGAUAACAGUCGGAAACGGUUGCUAAUACUGGAUAUGAGCUUGCAAGGCAUCUUGUGGGUUGGAAAGAUUUUUUUGGUUGGGGAUGGACUCGCGGCCUAUCAGCUUGUUGGUGAGGUAGUGGCUCACCAAGGCUUCGACGGGUAGCCGGCCUGAGAGGGCGACCGGCCACAUUGGGACUGAGAUACGGCCCAAACGCCUACGGGAGGCAGCAGUGGGGAAUAUUGCACAAUGGACGGAAGUCUGAUGCAGCAACGCCGCGGGCGGGAGGACGGCCUUCGGGUUGUAAACCGCUUUCAAUUGUGACGAAGCUUUUUGUGACGGUAGCAGUAGAAGAAGCACCGGCUAACUACGUG
Molecule: ribosomal RNA, 466 nt
Filed under: uncultured bacterium
Lineage: Bacteria
Description: partial 16S ribosomal RNA
Rfam family: Bacterial small subunit ribosomal RNA
Source: RNAcentral